AAAUUGAAUUAAUAAGCACAAAGAAGUAGGAUAGUCAGAAAUAUAUGUCACAAUAUUCCACUUUACUUUUCUUUACAAUCACAUUUUAAUUAAUCUGUCACUAAAGGUAAAUCCAUUCAGAGAAUUGGGACUUAAAUCAUACACAAGCUCUAAAAAUGUUUUAAAUCAGAAGUGAAACAUCUCUCUUGAUUAGGGAAUAGGAAU
Molecule: non-coding RNA, 204 nt
Organism: Pelobates cultripes (western spadefoot toad)
Lineage: Eukaryota; Metazoa; Chordata; Amphibia; Anura; Pelobatidae
Source: the annotation of a GenBank genome assembly